RNAcentral lists this ribosomal RNA (253 nucleotides) under uncultured bacterium. RNAcentral's name for it is "partial 16S ribosomal RNA". It matches the Rfam family "Bacterial small subunit ribosomal RNA", at positions 524 to 776 of the family's 1533-position model. The record is from RNAcentral.
UACGGAGGGUGCUAGCGUUGUUCGGAAUUACUGGGCGUAAAGCGUGCGCAGGCGGUUGGUUAAGUCUGAUGUGAAAGCCCCGGGCUCAACCUGGGAAUGGCAUUGGAAACUGUCCAGCUGGAGUGUGGCAGAGGGGGGUGGAAUUCCGCGUGUAGCAGUGAAAUGCGUAGAGAUGCGGAGGAACACCGAUGGCGAAGGCAGCCCCCUGGGCCAACACUGACGCUCAGGCACGAAAGCGUGGGGAGCAAACAGG